AACGCGAAGAACCUUACCAGGGCUUAAAUGCAGAUUGACAGGUUUAGAAAUAGACUUUUCUUCGGACAAUUUGCAAGGUGCUGCAUGGUUGUCGUCAGCUCGUGCCGUGAGGUGUCAGGUUAAGUCCUAUAACGAGCGCAACCCCUAUCACUAGUUGCCAGCGAGUCAAGUCGGGGACUCUAGUGAGACUGCCGGUGCAAACCGUGAGGAAGGUGGGGAUGACGUCAAAUCAUCACGGCCCUUACGUCCUGGGCCACACACGUGCUACGAUGGUAGGGACAGAGAGCAGCCACUUCGUGAGAAGGAGCGAAUCUACAAACCCUAUCUCAGUUCGGAUCGUAGUCUGCAACUCGACUACGUGAAGCUGGAAUCGCUAGUAAUCGCAUAUCAGCCAUGAUGCGGUGAAUACGUU
RNAcentral lists this ribosomal RNA (412 nucleotides) under uncultured freshwater bacterium. RNAcentral's name for it is "bacterial SSU rRNA". It matches the Rfam family "Bacterial small subunit ribosomal RNA", at positions 958 to 1372 of the family's 1533-position model. The record is from RNAcentral.